GGCUGAUCUGAGUGCAAUGGUGUUUACAACUAAUCAAUCACAACCAGUUACAGACAUCUUUGUUCCUUCUCCAUUCUCAUUGCUCCACUUGACUAGCCUUAA
This is an unclassified non-coding RNA of Colobus angolensis palliatus, 102 nucleotides long. It matches the Rfam family "Y RNA". Rfam says of the family: Y RNAs are components of the Ro ribonucleoprotein particle (Ro RNP), in association with Ro60 and La proteins. The Y RNAs and Ro60 and La proteins are well conserved, but the function of the Ro RNP is not known. In humans the RNA component can be one of four small RNAs -- hY1, hY3, hY4 and hY5. NCBI's taxonomy places the organism in Eukaryota, Metazoa, Chordata, Mammalia, Primates, Cercopithecidae. The record is from Ensembl.